CAAUACCUGGUGGCGAGUGGCGCACGGGUGCGUAACGCGUAUGCAACCUACCCUUAACAGAGACAUAACCUGGCGAAAGCUGGGCUAAUAUCUCAUGAGGUUAUAGAGGGGCAUCCCUAAAUAAUCAAAGCAGCGAUGUGGUUAAGGAUGGGCAUGCGUCCCAUUAGCUAGUUGGUGAGGUAACGGCUCACCAAGGCGACGAUGGGUAGGGGUUCUGAGAGGAAGGUCCCCCACACUGGUACUGAGACACGGACCAGACUCCUACGGGAGGCAGCAGUAAGGAAUAUUGGGCAAUGGUCGGAAGACUGACCCAGCCAUGCCGCGUGCAGGAAGAAGGCCCCAUGGGUUGUAAACUGCUUUAGCCAGGGGCUAAACCUACCGAUGCGUUGGUAGCUGAAGGUACCUGGAGAAUAAGCAUCGGCUAACUCCGUGCCAGCAGCCGCGGUAAUACGGAGGAUGCGAGCGUUAUCCGGAUUUACUGGGUUUAAAGGGUGCGCAGGCGGUUGUUUAAGUCAGGGGUGAAAGCCCUAUGCUCAACAUAGGGAUUGCCUUUGAUACUGAACGGCUAGAGUGAAGAUGGAGUGGGUGGAAUGUGUUGUG
Molecule: ribosomal RNA, 600 nt
Filed under: uncultured bacterium
Lineage: Bacteria
Description: bacterial SSU rRNA
Rfam family: Bacterial small subunit ribosomal RNA
Source: RNAcentral